This 253-nucleotide ribosomal RNA is filed under the name uncultured bacterium. RNAcentral describes it as "partial 16S ribosomal RNA". It matches the Rfam family "Bacterial small subunit ribosomal RNA", at positions 524 to 776 of the family's 1533-position model. The record is from RNAcentral.
GACAGAGGUGCCGAGCGUUAGGCGGAAUCACUGGGCUUAAAGCGUGUGUAGGCGGGCGGGCAAGUACCUUGUGAAAUCCCACGGCUCAACCGUGGAACGGCUGGGUAUACUGCCUGUCUUGAGCCAACUAGGGGCGAGCGGAACAGACGGUGGAGCGGUGAAAUGCGUAGAUAUCAUUUGGAACGCCAACGGUGAAAACAGCUCGCUGGGGGUGUGCUGACGCUGAGACACGAAAGCCAGGGUAGCGAACGGG